GACGAACGCUGGCGGCGUGCUUAACACAUGCAAGUCGAACGGAAAGGCCCUGCUUUUGUGGGGUGCUCGAGUGGCGAACGGGUGAGUAACACGUGAGUAACCUGCCCUUGACUUUGGGAUAACUUCAGGAAACUGGGGCUAAUACCGGAUAGGAGCUCCUGCUGCAUGGGGGGGGUUGGAAAGUUUCGGCGGUUGGUGAUGGACUCGCGGCUUAUCAGCUUGUUGGUGGGGUAGUGGCUUACCAAGGCUUUGACGGGUAGCCGGCCUGGGAGGGUGACCGGCCACAUUGGGACUGAGAUACGGCCCAGACUCCUACGGGAGGCAGCAGUGGGGAACAUUGCACAAUGGGCGGAAGCCUGAUGCAGCAACGCCGCGUGCGGGAUGACGGCCUUCGGGUUGUAAACCGCGUUCGCCUGUGACGAAGCGUGAGUGACGGUAAUGGGUAAAGAAGCACCGGCUAACUACGUG
RNAcentral lists this ribosomal RNA (468 nucleotides) under uncultured bacterium. Its description in RNAcentral is "partial 16S ribosomal RNA". It matches the Rfam family "Bacterial small subunit ribosomal RNA", at positions 28 to 507 of the family's 1533-position model. The record is from RNAcentral.